RNAcentral lists this ribosomal RNA (395 nucleotides) under uncultured bacterium. RNAcentral describes it as "bacterial SSU rRNA". It matches the Rfam family "Bacterial small subunit ribosomal RNA", at positions 39 to 422 of the family's 1533-position model. The record is from RNAcentral.
GGCCGCGGGAAUUCGAUUCAGGCCUAACACAUGCAAGUCGAGCGGUAGAGAGAAGCUUGCUUCUCUUGAGAGCGGCGGACGGGUGAGUAAUGCCUAGGAAUCUGCCUGGUAGUGGGGGAUAACGUUCGGAAACGGACGCUAAUACCGCAUACGUCCUACGGGAGAAAGCAGGGGACCUUCGGGCCUUGCGCUAUCAGAUGAGCCUAGGUCGGAUUAGCUAGUUGGUGAGGUAAUGGCUCACCAAGGCUACGAUCCGUAACUGGUCUGAGAGGAUGAUCAGUCACACUGGAACUGAGACACGGUCCAGACUCCUACGGGAGGCAGCAGUGGGGAAUAUUGGACAAUGGGCGAAAGCCUGAUCCAGCCAAGGCGCGUGUGUGAAGAAGGUCUUCGGA